Long non-coding RNA from Homarus americanus (American lobster), 393 nucleotides. RefSeq lists it as uncharacterized. The transcript is spliced from 5 exons. The record is from RefSeq and is a predicted model, not a curated record. NCBI's taxonomy places the organism in Eukaryota, Metazoa, Arthropoda, Malacostraca, Decapoda, Nephropidae.
ACCCGUUGAAGAUAAUGGUCUCUCUCUUGUUUUCAGUGUCGGUCACCUCCAUGUAGCUCAUCAGGAUGCCGUAAGUGCCAGCUGAAGCGUCAUCCAGGAACACCUGACAACACGCGUCUUCGUGAAACACUGAGGCAGUCAACUUUGUCCACACACACGUUCAUAAUGAAGGUAGAAUGAGUCAUCCCACACCUUGAUGCUACUCCACCCUCACGUUGCUCCAUCAUCAGAAGUAACCCGCCGUGAAGACAGGGGCCAGUGUAGAGUGACCUGCCUGGCGGAGAGAACCUUCAGCAGUACACGUGAUUACUGAAGACAACAUGAGGCAGUGAGACUCCUGACCCACGAGGCAGUGCGGACAUGGGGUGUCGACUUUUCCUCUACCAGAAGAAC